AUACAUGGUUUGACUAAAUAUUAAUUCUAUAGAUGAGUUAGGUCCUGAACUUAAAUCUGAAAUUACUGAAGAGAGAUUAGACAUGUUAAUCAGGUUGGGCUAUAUUGUGUUGCAUAAUAAACUCCCAAUAGCAGUGACAAAACAAAACAAAACAAAAGUCCAUUUUUCUUUCAAGGUACACAUCCUUGGAAAAUUAUCUGAGAGACUAAGAGUAGAGUCAGAAAAGCCACCUUCUGGAACAUUAUAUUAAUCAUGCCAGAACCAUGGGAAAUGCAAUCAGACAAGGCACCCAAGAGGUGGAGAGCAGAAAAUCUUUAUCCCUGAUGGCUUCCUCUUUGAGAUCCUGUGACAUCCACAACUUACAGAAACUGUAUUCCAUGUCUUCCUUCCAGAUUUGGAAUAAAUUCUACUCAGACAUGAAGUUGCUACAUUGGAGACAAUAUGUGGCCAUCUAUAGCCUUAACAUUAUUGUAUUCUGGUUGAUAAAAUGGUGGACUUUAUAGGACUGAAGACCAACUAAAUUAAUUAAAAUGAAUUUAAGAGGUCAAAUUCCUGUAAUUUGUGUUUUAUAGAAGAAAUAAUAAUCCUUAUAAAUAAUAGCAACAUUGCAAUGUAACUUUUCAGGUUUUUACUGAAAAUGUUGGCAAAUUUGACAAUGUUGGAUAAUUAUGCUAGAGAAUUAGUGUGGACAUUUUUCCAAAUUUAAGCCUUGAAUUUUAAGCUGAAAUAUAUAGAACGAGACAAAGAGGAGCGGAGUUCCAGCUGUGAUUUUGUGUCUCAUGCAGCUGUGGCCCACCUGCCCUAAGCAUCAGUGAUUUGGAUGCUGGGCAUUUUUGGCUCAGUUAUACACUUGUUGGAAAAUGUUAAAGCAAUUAGCAGAGGCAAUCUCAAAAGAGAAGACCCAGGAGAAUAAUGUCACUGAGGCUGUUGAAUAAAACAUUAUCAUCUUCAAAAUUGUGCUUAUUU
This 966-nucleotide long non-coding RNA is filed under the name Oryctolagus cuniculus (rabbit). Its description in RNAcentral is "lncRNA (ENSOCUG00000034701.1)". The record is from RNAcentral. Lineage: Eukaryota; Metazoa; Chordata; Mammalia; Lagomorpha; Leporidae.